GCUGGAAAGCUUGGCGAUACAGGGUGAUAGCCCCGUAACCGACGCUUCAUCGAGCGUGAAAUCGAGUAGGGCGGGACACGUGAUAUCCUGUCUGAAUAUGGGGGGACCAUCCUCCAAGGCUAAAUACUCCUGACUGACCGAUAGUGAACCAGUACCGUGAGGGAAAGGCGAAAAGAACCCCUGUGAGGGGAGUGAAAUAGAACCUGAAACCGUGUACGUACAAGCAGUAGGAGCACCUUCGUGGUGUGACUGCGUACCUUUUGUAUAAUGGGUCAGCGACUUAUAUUCAGUGGCAAGGUUAACCGUAUAGGGGAGCCGUAGCGAAAGCGAGUCUUAACUGGGCGCUCAGUCUCUGGAUAUAGACCCGAAACCGGGUGAUCUAGCCAUGGGCAGGUUGAAGGUUGAGUAACAUCAACUGGAGGACCGAACCGACUAAUGUUGAAAAAUUAGCGGAUGACUUGUGGCUAGGGGUGAAAGGCCAAUCAAACUCGGAGAUAGCUGGUUCUCCCCGAAAGCUAUUUAGGUAGCGCCUCGGACGAAUACUACUGGGGGUAGAGCACUGUUAAGGCUAGGGGGUCAUCCCGACUUACCAACCCUUUGCAAACUCCGAAUACCAGUAAGUACUAUCCGGGAGACACACGGCGGGUGCUAACGUCCGUCGUGGAGAGGGAAACAACCCAGACCGCCAGCUAAGGUCCCAAAGUAUUGCUAAGUGGGAAACGAUGUGGGAAGGCUCAGACAGCUAGGAUGUUGGCUUAGAAGCAGCCAUCAUUUAAAGAAAGCGUAAUAGCUCACUAGUCGAGUCGGCCUGCGCGGAAGAUGUAACGGGGCUAAGCAAUACACCGAAGCUGCGGCAAUAUCUUUUAGAUAUUGGGUAGGGGAGCGUUCUGUAAGCCGUUGAAGGUGAAUCGUAAGGUUUGCUGGAGGUAUCAGAAGUGCGAAUGCUGACAUGAGUAACGACAAAGGGGGUGAAAAACCUCCUCGCCGGAAGACCAAGGGUUCCUGUCCAACGUUAAUCGGGGCAGGGUGAGUCGACCCCUAAGGUGAGGCCGAAAGGCGUAAUCGAUGGGAAACGGGUUAAUAUUCCCGUACUUCUGACUAUUGCGAUGG
RNAcentral lists this ribosomal RNA (1110 nucleotides) under Vibrio cholerae. Its description in RNAcentral is "partial 23S ribosomal RNA". It matches the Rfam family "Bacterial large subunit ribosomal RNA", at positions 341 to 1467 of the family's 2925-position model. The record is from RNAcentral. Lineage: Bacteria; Pseudomonadati; Pseudomonadota; Gammaproteobacteria; Vibrionales; Vibrionaceae.